RNAcentral lists this ribosomal RNA (481 nucleotides) under uncultured bacterium. Its description in RNAcentral is "partial 16S ribosomal RNA". It matches the Rfam family "Bacterial small subunit ribosomal RNA", at positions 28 to 523 of the family's 1533-position model. The record is from RNAcentral.
GACGAACGCUGGCGGCGUGCUUAACACAUGCAAGUCGAACGCUGAAGCCCUUCGGGGUGGAUGAGUGGCGAACGGGUGAGUAACACGUGGGUAAUCUGCCCUGCACUCUGGGAUAAGCCUUGGAAACGGGGUCUAAUACCGGAUAGGACCCAUCGCCGCAUGGUGUGUGUGUGGAAAGUUCCGGCGGUGCAGGUUGAGCCCGCGGCCGAUCAGCUUGUUGGUGGGGUGAUGGCCUACCAAGGCGACGACGGGUAGCCGGCCUGAGAGGGUGACCGGCCACACUGGGACUGAGACACGGCCCGGACUCCUACGGGAGGCAGCAGUGGGGAAUCUUGCGCAAUGGGCGAAAGCCUGACGCAGCAACGCCGCGUGGGGGAUGACGGCCUUCGGGUUGUAAACCUCUUUCGACCGGGACGAAGGAUUCGUUUGACGGUACCGGUAGAAGAAGCACCGGCUAACUACGUGCCAGCCGCCGCCGUAA